RNAcentral lists this ribosomal RNA (253 nucleotides) under uncultured bacterium. RNAcentral's name for it is "partial 16S ribosomal RNA". It matches the Rfam family "Bacterial small subunit ribosomal RNA", at positions 524 to 776 of the family's 1533-position model. The record is from RNAcentral.
UACAGAGGGUGCGAGCGUUAAUCGGAAUUACUGGGCGUAAAGCGUGCGUAGACGGUUAUUUAAGUCGGGUGUGAAAGCCCCGGGCUCAACCUGGGAAUUGCAUUCGAGACUGAAUAGCUAGGGUACGGUAGAGGGAAGCGGAAUUUCCGGUGUAGCGGUGAAAUGCGUAGAUAUCGGAAGGAACAUCAGUGGCGAAAGCGGCUUCCUGGACCGACACUGACGCUGAGGCGCGAAAGCUAGGGGAGCAAACGGG